Molecule: ribosomal RNA, 327 nt
Filed under: Anoxybacillus sp. ST70
Lineage: Bacteria; Bacillati; Bacillota; Bacilli; Caryophanales; Anoxybacillaceae
Description: bacterial SSU rRNA
Rfam family: Bacterial small subunit ribosomal RNA
Source: RNAcentral
UCUAUGGAGAGUUUGAUCCUGGCUCAGGACGAACGCUGGCGGCGUGCCUAAUACAUGCAAGUCGAGCGGACGAUUCGAAAGCUUGCUUUUGAAUCGUUAGCGGCGGACGGGUGAGUAACACGUGGGCAACCUGCCCUGUAGACGGGGAUAACACCGAGAAAUCGGUGCUAAUACCGGAUAACACGAAAUGUCGCAUGACGUUUCGUUGAAAGACGGCGCAAGCUGUCGCUACAGGAUGGGCCCGCGGCGCAUUAGCUAGUUGGUGAGGUAACGGCUCACCAAGGCGACGAUGCGUAGCCGACCUGAGAGGGUGAUCGGCCACACUGG